Molecule: ribosomal RNA, 442 nt
Filed under: uncultured bacterium
Lineage: Bacteria
Description: partial 16S ribosomal RNA
Rfam family: Bacterial small subunit ribosomal RNA
Source: RNAcentral
CCUACGGGUGGCAGCAGUGGGGAAUAUUGGGCAAUGGGCGCAAGCCUGACCCAGCAACUCCGCGUGAAGGAAGAAGGCUUUCGGGUUGUAAACUUCUUUUGUCAGGGAAGAGUAGAAGACGGUACCUGACGAAUAAUCCACGGCUAACUACGGGCCAGCAGCCGCGGUAAUACGUAGGUGGCAAGCGUUGUCCGGAUUUACUUGGUGUAAAGGGCGUGUAGCCGGGUUGACAAGUCAGAUGUGAAAUCCUGCGGCUUAACCGCAGAACCGCAUUUGAAACUGUUGAUCUUGAGUACUGGAGAGGCAGAGGGAAUUACUAGUGUAGGGGGGAAAAGCGUAGAUAUUAGGAGGAACACCAGUGGCGAAGGCGGUCUGCUGGACAGCAACUGACGGUGAGGCGCGAAAGCGUGGGGAGCAAACAGGAUUAGAUACCCCAGUAGUC